UUAGUGGCGGACGGGUGAGUAACGCGUGGGUAACCUGCCUUGUACUGGGGGACAACAGUUGGAAACGACUGCUAAUACCGCAUAAGCGCACAGCUUCGCAUGAAGCAGUGUGAAAAACUCCGGUGGUACAAGAUGGACCCGCGUCUGAUUAGCUGGUUGGUGAGGUAACGGCCCACCAAGGCAACGAUCAGUAGCCGGCCUGAGAGGGUGAACGGCCACAUUGGGACUGAGACACGGCCCAAACUCCUACGGGAGGCAGCAUG
RNAcentral lists this ribosomal RNA (263 nucleotides) under uncultured bacterium. RNAcentral describes it as "partial 16S ribosomal RNA". It matches the Rfam family "Bacterial small subunit ribosomal RNA", at positions 92 to 353 of the family's 1533-position model. The record is from RNAcentral.